ACCUCAAAUCAGGUAAGAAUACC
This 23-nucleotide ribosomal RNA is filed under the name Funneliformis mosseae. RNAcentral's name for it is "partial 28S ribosomal RNA". Lineage: Eukaryota; Fungi; Glomeromycota; Glomeromycetes; Glomerales; Glomeraceae. The record is from RNAcentral.